This 762-nucleotide ribosomal RNA is filed under the name uncultured fungus. Its description in RNAcentral is "eukaryotic LSU rRNA". It matches the Rfam family "Eukaryotic large subunit ribosomal RNA", at positions 30 to 821 of the family's 3401-position model. Lineage: Eukaryota; Fungi. The record is from RNAcentral.
GAACUUAAGCAUAUCAAUAAGCGGAGGAAAAGAAACCAACAGGGAUUGCCUCAGUAACGGCGAGUGAAGCGGCAACAGCUCAAAUUUGAAAUCUGGCCGCAAGGUCCGAGUUGUAAUUUGUAGAGGAUGCUUUUGGCGAGGUGCCUUCCGAGUUCCCUGGAACGGGACGCCAUAGAGGGUGAGAGCCCCGUACGGUAGGACCACCAAGCCUCUGUAAAGCUCCUUCGACGAGUCGAGUAGUUUAGGAAUGCUGCUCUAAAUGGGAGGUGUACGUCUUCUAAAGCUAAAUACCGGCCAGAGACCGAUAGCGCACAAGUAGAGUGAUCGAAAGAUGAAAAGCACUUUGAAAAGAGGGUUAAAAAGUACGUGAAAUUGUUGAAAGGGAAGCAUUCAUGACCAGACUUGGGCUUGGUUGAACAUCCGGCGUUCUCGCCGGUGCACUCUGCCAGUCCAGGCCAGCAUCAGUUUGCCCCGGGGGAUAAAGGCGGCGGGAAUGUGGCUCCCUUCGGGGAGUGUUAUAGCCCGUCGUGUAAUGCCCUGGGGCGGACUGAGGAACGCGCUUCGGCACGGAUGCUGGCGUAAUGGUCAUCAAUGACCCGUCUUGAAACACGGACCAAGGAGUCGUCUUCGUAUGCGAGUGUUCGGGUGUCAAACCCCUACGCGUAAUGAAAGUGAACGUAGGUGAGAGCUUCGGCGCAUCACCGACCGAUCCUGAUGUUCUCGGAUGGAUUUGAGUAAGAGCAUACGGGGCCGGACCCGAAA